UGAAGCUCCAGUAUUUUGCUCACCUGAUGAGAACAGCUGACUCAUUGGAAAAGUCCCUGAUGCUGGGACAGAUUCAGGGCAGAAGGAGAAGAGGGUGUCAGAGGAUGAGAUGGCUUGAUGGUAUCAUCAAUGCAAUGGACGCGAACUUCAGCAAACUUCGAGAAGUGGUGAGGGACAGGGAGGCCUUGUGUGCUGCGGUCCAUGGGGUCGCUAACAGUCGGACACGACUGA
Molecule: long non-coding RNA, 231 nt
Organism: Cervus elaphus (red deer)
Lineage: Eukaryota; Metazoa; Chordata; Mammalia; Artiodactyla; Cervidae
Exons: 3
Source: RefSeq, a predicted model, not a curated record